RNAcentral lists this unclassified non-coding RNA (215 nucleotides) under Hevea brasiliensis (rubber tree). Lineage: Eukaryota; Viridiplantae; Streptophyta; Magnoliopsida; Malpighiales; Euphorbiaceae. The record is from RNAcentral.
GUCACUGUUUCUUGUUCUGCUGAUGCUUCUGCACAACUUGGUGGUGAUGAAAAGAUUGAGAAAUAUGCUUUUGUUAGUGUUCUAAUCAUACUAGUUAUGUUGUUUGGAGCUGUUUGGGUUGGUUUUCUGUUGAACUGAUUCUUGAUGCUUCCUUGAGAGCUUUGUCUAAAUUGUGCAAGAGGCUGUUUGUAGCCGGGUAGUAAAAAUUACUCAGC